RNAcentral lists this ribosomal RNA (326 nucleotides) under Platypelis aff. tetra 2 AC-2015. RNAcentral's name for it is "partial 16S ribosomal RNA". It matches the Rfam family "Bacterial large subunit ribosomal RNA", at positions 2031 to 2526 of the family's 2925-position model. The record is from RNAcentral. Lineage: Eukaryota; Metazoa; Chordata; Amphibia; Anura; Microhylidae.
AAUCAAUGAAACUGAUCUCCUCGUGAAAAAGCGAGGAUGCCCAUAUAAGACGAGAAGACCCCAUGGAGCUUAAAACUUGUACCACUGCCUCUACCUACACCAUCCAACUUAAGCAAGUGUGGCCGCAAGUCUUUCGGUUGGGGCGACUACGGAGAAAAAUCUAACCUCCAUGAUGAAAGGAAUAAUCCUAAUCAAAGAGCAACCGCUCGAAGAAUCAAUAAACUGACACACUGACCCAAACACUUUUGAUCAACGAACCAAGUUACCCUGGGGAUAACAGCGCAAUCCAUUUCAAGAGACCCCAUCAACAAAUGGGCUUACGACCU